GCGAUGGGUGAGGCGGAGGGACAUUA
This 26-nucleotide ribosomal RNA is filed under the name Fusarium verticillioides. Its description in RNAcentral is "partial 18S ribosomal RNA". Lineage: Eukaryota; Fungi; Ascomycota; Sordariomycetes; Hypocreales; Nectriaceae. The record is from RNAcentral.